UUGCCCAGACAGAGUAUAUGAUUGCCC
Molecule: non-coding RNA, 27 nt
Filed under: Homo sapiens (human)
Lineage: Eukaryota; Metazoa; Chordata; Mammalia; Primates; Hominidae
Source: RNAcentral